CAGCCGUAAACUAUGCGCGUUAGGUGUACUGGUGACCACGAGUCACCGGGGUGCCGAAGGGAAACCGUGAAACGUGCCGCCUGGGAAGUACGGUCGCAAGGCUGAAACUUAAAGGAAUUGGCGGGGGAGCACCACAACAGGUGGAGCCUGCGGUUUAAUUGGACUCAACGCCGGAAAUCUCACCGGAUAGGACAGACAUAUGAUAGUCGGGCUGAAGACUCUACUUGAUGAUCUGAGAGGAGGUGCAUGGCGUCAGUGACU
This 261-nucleotide ribosomal RNA is filed under the name uncultured archaeon. RNAcentral describes it as "partial 16S ribosomal RNA". It matches the Rfam family "Archaeal small subunit ribosomal RNA", at positions 748 to 1008 of the family's 1478-position model. The record is from RNAcentral.